CAGCCGCCACGGUAACACGUAGGUGGCAAGCGUUGUCCGGAAUCAUUGGGCGUAAAGGGCUCGCAGGCGGUUUCUUAAGUCUGAUGUGAAAGCCCCCGGCUCAACCGGGGAGGGUCAUUGGAAACUGGGAAACUUGAGUGCAGAAGAGGAGAGUGGAAUUCCACGUGUAGCGGUGAAAUGCGUAGAGAUGUGGAGGAACACCAGUGGCGAAGGCGACUCUCUGGUCUGUAACUGACGCUGAGGAGCGAAAGCGUGGGGAGCGAACAGGAUUAGAUACCCCUGUAGUCCCUGUCUCUUAUAC
This 301-nucleotide ribosomal RNA is filed under the name uncultured bacterium. Its description in RNAcentral is "partial 16S ribosomal RNA". It matches the Rfam family "Bacterial small subunit ribosomal RNA", at positions 509 to 807 of the family's 1533-position model. The record is from RNAcentral.